RNAcentral lists this ribosomal RNA (436 nucleotides) under uncultured Rhodoferax sp. Its description in RNAcentral is "bacterial SSU rRNA". It matches the Rfam family "Bacterial small subunit ribosomal RNA", at positions 938 to 1382 of the family's 1533-position model. Lineage: Bacteria; Pseudomonadati; Pseudomonadota; Betaproteobacteria; Burkholderiales; Comamonadaceae. The record is from RNAcentral.
CAUGUGGUUUAAUUCGAUGAUACGCGAGGAACCUUACCUGGCUUAAAUGUAGAGUGCAUUUUAGAGAUAGAAUCCCUUCGGGGCUUUCUGCAAGGUGCUGCAUGGUUGUCGUCAGCUCGUGCCGUGAGAUGUUGGGUUAAGUCCCGCAACGAGCGCAACCCUUGUCAUUAGUUGCUACAUUCAGUUGGGCACUCUAAUGAGACUGCCGGUGACAAGCCGGAGGAAGGUGGGGAUGACGUCAAGUCCUCAUGGCCCUUAUAGGUGGGGCUACACACGUCAUACAAUGGCUGGUACAAAGGGUUGCCAACCCGCGAGGGGGAGCUAAUCCCAUAAAGCCAGUCGUAGUCCGGAUCGUAGUCUGCAACUCGACUACGUGAAGUCGGAAUCGCUAGUAAUCGUGGAUCAGAAUGUCACGGUGAAUACGUUCCCGGGUCUU